AGCGUGUGGUUAAUUCGAUGCAACGCGAAGAACCUUACCAGGGUUUGACAUGCUUAAAGUAGGAACUCGAAAGAGGGACGACCUGUAUCCAGUCAGGAGUUUGCACAGGUGCUGCAUGGCUGUCGUCAGCUCGUGUCGUGAGAUGUUGGGUUAAGUCCCGCAACGAGCGCAACCCUUGCCAUUAGUUGCUACGAAAGGGCACUCUAAUGGGACUGCCGGUGACAAACCGGAGGAAGGUGGGGAUGACGUCAAGUCCUCAUGGCCCUUAUAGGUGGGGCUACACACGUCAUACAAUGGCCGGUACAGAGGGUAGCCAACCCGCGAGGGGGAGCCAAUCCCACAAAGCCGGUCGUAGUCCGGAUCGCAGUCUGCAACUCGACUGCGUGAAGUCGGAAUCGCUAGUAAUCGCGGAUCAGCAUGUCGCGGUGAAUACGUUCUCGGGCCUU
Molecule: ribosomal RNA, 446 nt
Filed under: uncultured Allobrachymonas sp.
Lineage: Bacteria; Pseudomonadati; Pseudomonadota; Betaproteobacteria; Burkholderiales; Comamonadaceae
Description: bacterial SSU rRNA
Rfam family: Bacterial small subunit ribosomal RNA
Source: RNAcentral